CCCUAUGGGGUGCAGCAGGCGCGAAAACUUUACCAUGCGGGCAACCGUGAUAAGGAAACCCCGAGUGCCAGCACAGGCUGGCUGUCCGCCAGUUUAAAUAACUGGUGAAGAAAGGGCCGGGCAAGACCGGUGCCAGCCGCCGCGGUAAUACCGGCGGCUCGAGUGGUGGCCGCUUUUACUGGGCUUAAAGGGUCCGUAGCUUGAUUCACAAGUCCCUUGAGAAAUCCAUCGGCUUAACUGAUGGGCGUUCAGGGGAUACUGUGGUUCUAGGGACCGGGAGAGGUGAGAGGUACUGCCGGGGUAGGAGUGAAAUCCUGUAAUCCCGGUGGGACGACCUAUGGCGAAGGCAUCUCACCAGAACGGCUCCGACAGUGAGGGACGAAAGCUGGGGGAGCAAACCGG
Molecule: ribosomal RNA, 402 nt
Filed under: uncultured archaeon
Lineage: Archaea
Description: bacterial SSU rRNA
Rfam family: Archaeal small subunit ribosomal RNA
Source: RNAcentral